Molecule: long non-coding RNA, 404 nt
Organism: Vigna radiata var. radiata (mung bean)
Lineage: Eukaryota; Viridiplantae; Streptophyta; Magnoliopsida; Fabales; Fabaceae
Exons: 2
Source: RefSeq, a predicted model, not a curated record
GAUAAGAUUCUCUAAGUUGCAUAAUUAAGGAGAGGAUAAGAUUUGCAAGUGGUUUUACAAUUGGUGAUUAAAAUAUUAAUAAAAUAAUAUUAAAACAAUAAAUAAUAUUAAAAAAAUAAUUUGAAUAGUAAAAUUUUUUAACUAUAAAUAGCCAUAAGGGGGAUGGCUAAAAUUUACACCAAAAACUCUUAGAAUUUUGAGAGAAAGAGAUAGUGAGAGGAAAUUCUGUUGGAAAGNGGAGACUCUGGAAGAUUCUAAAACAAGUUCUGAGCAAGAGAUUAAGUCUGGGAUAGAGACGAGGGAGCGACGUCUGAACCAACACCAGUGAAGAUAGAGGCGGGAGAAUUGUAGAGUAGAGAUCGAGUUAAUCAAUGACGUGUGAAGUUGAUAUAUAUAAAAAAAAA